Molecule: ribosomal RNA, 301 nt
Filed under: uncultured bacterium
Lineage: Bacteria
Description: partial 16S ribosomal RNA
Rfam family: Bacterial small subunit ribosomal RNA
Source: RNAcentral
CAGCCGCCGCGGUAAUACGGAGGGAGCUAGCGUUGUUCGGAAUUACUGGGCGUAAAGCGCGCGUAGGCGGUUACUCAAGUCAGAGGUGAAAGCCCGGGGCUCAACCCCGGAACUGCCUUUGAAACUAGGUGACUAGAGUCUUGGAGAGGUCAGUGGAAUUCCGAGUGUAGAGGUGAAAUUCGUAGAUAUUCGGAAGAACACCAGUGGCGAAGGCGACUGACUGGACAAGUAUUGACGCUGAGGUGCGAAAGCGUGGGGAGCAAACAGGAUUAGAUACCCCUGUAGUCCCUGUCUCUUAUAC